Molecule: ribosomal RNA, 482 nt
Filed under: uncultured bacterium
Lineage: Bacteria
Description: partial 16S ribosomal RNA
Rfam family: Bacterial small subunit ribosomal RNA
Source: RNAcentral
AUUGAACGCUGGCGGCAUGCCUUACACAUGCAAGUCGAACGGUAACGGGCCUUCGGGUGCCGACGAGUGGCGAACGGGUGAGUAAUACAUCGGAACGUGCCCGAUCGUGGGGGAUAACGAGGCGAAAGCUUUUCUAAUACCGCAUACGAUCUACGGAUGAAAGCAGGGGACCGCAAGGCCUUGCGCGGACGGAGCGGCUGAUGGCAGAUUAGGUAGUUGGUGGGAUAAAAGCUUACCAAGCCGACGAUCUGUAGCUGGUCUGAGAGGAUGAUCAGCCACACUGGGACUGAGACACGGCCCAGACUCCUACGGGAGGCAGCAGUGGGGAAUUUUGGACAAUGGGCGCAAGCCUGAUCCAGCCAUGCCGCGUGCAGGAUGAAGGCCUUCGGGUUGUAAACUGCUUUUGUACGGAACGAAAAGCCUUCUUUUAAUACAGGAGGGUCAUGACGGUACCGUAAGAAUAAGCACCGGCUAACUACGUG